CUUUUUGAGACUUCUGCACCAGGUAUGAACAAGUUACUACUUUGAGUGUAUUCAUUAAGGCCACUUAUAUAGACUGUUUAUGGUUUCAUUUUUCUAGAUGCUAUGUUUCAAAAGUAAUAAUAUAUUUUUUGCAAGUGUUUCAAAGGGUGUGGUUUAAUUUUUAGUGAGAACUGAGUAGUGAAAGAAUAGGUUAUUUACCAAGGAACACAAGCAGGAUUUCAGUGGCAUUGAUGAGACAUUGUUACAUGAUUGUAAAGCUUUAUAUUUAUGCUACCACAGAGAACUAUCAAGAUAGAGAUGAUGUACAUUACAGUAUGUACUGUAUGGUGAUACAUUAAAAUUUGUUGAAGGACUCAUAGUAAUAAUCAAUCUAUUGGGUCACUGAAGAAUAGAAUAAUCAUUAUAAUGAUAAUAAUUUAAAUAAUAAUUUUUUUAGUACUUAGCACAGUGCAUUCUUUCUUGUAAUAGUAGAUCUUCACUUUUUAGAACUAGAAUAUCGAUUGCAACUCUUA
RNAcentral lists this long non-coding RNA (512 nucleotides) under Amphimedon queenslandica. RNAcentral's name for it is "uncharacterized LOC109592856". Lineage: Eukaryota; Metazoa; Porifera; Demospongiae; Haplosclerida; Niphatidae. The record is from RNAcentral.